ACCUUCCAAUUUCUUCUCACAGCGGUUAGUGAUGUUAUUUUGCAGGAUGCUUUUUCUUUUACGCUCCGGAACUAUCAAAGCAUUUUGGGUCAGCGUACAUACCUUUGGAUACUUUCUUGAAGGGGUCGGAGUGCUCAGGGAUCCUGUCUCUCCUUUUAGGAACAGAUUCAGACACCAUGGAUUCAAGUAGGUUUUCCACAGGUCUGUUUCAGGUCACAUCUUGGAGCUCUGACAACCGUGACGGUACUUGUUACUGGUAUAAACAAAUCUGUGGUCUAGUAUGGAUGGUUUGCAAGGUCUGUGAUUGAAGUGCGUUUUGGAGUAUGUGAGUAGUGUUCAGAAGAAUGAACUAUCCCUACAUCCUCUUCGUCCUCUCUCACCUUUCCUUUCUCAUCCUACUAUUCUCGCCCUCAAACACAUGCUAUAUGAAUUCCUUCUUAUACUCUUUCUGUCUUUCUGAUCUCUUGGUUCUCCUCCUCUUCAUCUCUUCCUUCUCACUGUCGUAAUCCUUCCCUUCUUUGUUCCUGACCUACUAAUCCUACCCAUAAAUUCUCCCUUUAUCUGUAAAUCAAUCUUUUUUCCCUUUACACCACUUGCCUUUCACCUCAUUUUCUCUCCUAGGUUCACCCUUAAUUUUCUUGUUAACCUGUGUCUGCGUGUAUGAUUGGCAUGGGAACUCUGCUAUAAAGACCUUCACUGCACAUGAGAUUAUCUCCCCUUUAGGCAUUAAAUUAUCCACAGCAAAACACACAUACGCAAACACACCCGCAAAUGUAAAACUAUCCCUAUAAAGUCUAUAAAGGUGACUGUUUCCACAGUGACACUGUUUCUUUAUUUGUUCUUUCAACACAUGCACACUCAGAAACACACACAGAGGGAGCAAAUAAGAACUACUGUAUGUCAGAUGUUUACACUUUCGUGUGUGUGUGUGUGUGUGUGUGCAUGCAUGCGUGCGUGAGGAAGACUAACCACCUGUUCAACAACAGAGCUGAGGACACACUGGGGGGGUGUCCGUUUGUGUGUGUCCCUUCACCUGUCAAUAUGAAGAUAAUUGAUGAGACAGCCCAGCAAUAGACCUGAGGGACGGGUCCUUUCACACACACACACAUUUUACGCCCCACAACUUACACUGCUGGAGCAUUUGAAAGGUGGAACUUCAGUCAAAUUUUCUAGUUUCUGAAACCACUUCAGACCGAAAACAUGUAGCGGCCAAUUUUGGGCUAUUUGUUUCAUUAAAAUGUUUUUUUAGGCUGGUAAUAAUUACUUUAAAGCCAUUUCUGUUGACAGAAUCCAUUUUGACUUUUGGCAUUUUCAAUUAUUAAAAAAAUUGUCGGUUUUUCCCACUCCUUGGCUUUGGCAGGUCCCUUAAUUCCGCUGCUAACGCUGUUGAAUAUGAUCAACUUUCUUUUAUGGUUCUCAAAAUGUAUGACUUUAAUGAAGGACAUAUGAUGCAAUACUUGUAGCCUUAUUCGGUGUUACCUUAUUAGGUAACACCAAAUAAGGCUACAAGUUAGUUAAGUGGAGGUAACAGAACCACUCAGGGUUAGGAAAAGAGCCACAUUGAAAUAGUGGAAAGGAUGACCAGUCAUUAGUAGACUUGCUUCUGACAUGCGCAUUAACCACAAGCUCGUUGCGUAAUGUUUCAACAGUCAGCCCUCGCGCCAUGCGCUCAGGGGAGAUCCUACUUCAUCCUUAAAAUAUUCGGCCCUGAAUGUGGAGGUGCAAACAGUGCUCUGAGACCGUUUCGACGAGAAUCCCAAGCAUUGAAGUAAGGGGGGAAUGCAGGGUAUGCGGGUAUGCUUCUACUUAAAUGAAGAUCCUGACAAACUUGUUAAAAAGUACAUGUUUGAGGAUGUUGCUGGAGUGGACGAAAUGGAGGAAGUGGUUUUGGCCAUCUACGUUGUGGAACAUGAGGGAGCAGAGGCAACCGAUGAACCUGAGGAUAUUGGCAUCAUCGUUGAAGAGUGUACAGUGCUGGAAUACCUCAGAAAAGUGGCAAAUGGCUGCGCAUCCCUGUUUGGUGUGAUCUACAGUUUAAACUUGAGCUAUCCCAAGGACCUUUGAUACACUUUCAAGUUUAUUCAGAAAGUUUGGAUGGGAUUGGAUGGGAACAAGCUCUCCACUAAGGUCCUCAAAAAAAAACUGCAUGAGGAAAAUGCCAUCAAGGCUGGAUAAGAAUUUCUGUUCAUCCUCACACAGGAAAGUGCUUUUGCACUGUGGACUGAUGCUGAACACAUUGUUUGUUGGUUUGCUGUUGUGUUAUUAGACGCUGUCACUAUGUUUUUUCACUGUAUGUUUUUUUAAAAGUUGGACAUUUUAUGUUGACAUUUUAAAUAGCAUAAACUCCAUGUUGACUAGUUCAUAAAUUCCAAAUUUGAUGAUUCUGGUAAUGUUUAAGUUCUCAACCUAAACUUGUUAUUUCAGAAGAUACGUAUUUAAUAGAGAACAGAAUCACUGUUUUACUGUUUCAGCUUCACAGUGUGAGGUUAAAACCAUAAGAUUAUUAUCUAUAUAGAUAUUCAUAGAUUUGUUUUCAUUAUUUCUUAUUGGUACAUUUUCAGUUUUUAUAAAUUUGUGUGUUGUACACAUGCAUAUUAUACACAGGUGAAUAGUCCCACCUGCUUCAAACCUGAUAAUAAAGGUUUAAGUGAAUUUCAGCAAAAACUUAAUUUGUAUUUAUUUGACUCAUUUAUUUAAACUGAACAACUAAG
Long non-coding RNA from Gasterosteus aculeatus aculeatus (three-spined stickleback), 2711 nucleotides. NCBI's taxonomy places the organism in Eukaryota, Metazoa, Chordata, Actinopteri, Perciformes, Gasterosteidae. The record is from Ensembl.